AUGUUUCCUCUUUUCCUGGUUUCUCAAGAGUGCUGCUGCUAACGCGGUCCCCGGCACGCACCAUCUGUUGCCAUCCCGGCCGGCCGAGGCCGUUACAGAUUUUGGAAGAUGGCAAAGUUCAUGACACCCGUGAUCCAGGACAACCCCUCAGGCUGGGGUCCCUGUGCUGUUCCCGAGCAGUUUCGGGAUAUGCCCUACCAGCCGUUCAGCAAAGGAGAUCGGCUAGGAAAGGUACAUGCCUGUCAGCAGGAGUCUGAAUCUUUGCAGCUGUGGCUGCUACUCUCGAGUCCCUGUUUUGAUUUUAUUGUCUCAAAAUCUUAACUCCUGAAUUUCUUAUAGGGAUGCCAGCUGAGAAAGGUUAUCUCUGGGUGUAGUCAUAGAAGAGCUGGGCACUUACAGAGGUGUUGUGAACAAAUUCUGAGACUCUUCCACGCUGUCCUCUCGCGCUCAGGGAUUUCUGGUUCUGCAGAAACUUGCCUGGUUGACCUGUGCAUUCUCUGUCUUUUCUUGUUCUUCGUAGGUUGCAGACUGGACAGGAGCCACAUACCAAGAUAAGAGGUACACAAAUAAGUACUCCUCUCAGUUUGGUGGUGGAAGUCAAUAU
Molecule: small RNA, 604 nt
Filed under: Pan troglodytes (chimpanzee)
Lineage: Eukaryota; Metazoa; Chordata; Mammalia; Primates; Hominidae
Description: retained intron
Source: RNAcentral